GAUCAUCUGCUGUGGGUGUUCCUGAUCUUUGAGCCAUGAUAAUGUUACUGGUUGGAUGUCAGGAGCAGGCCAUGUGGAUGAUUAAAAGAUGAAUAUCAUAUACAGCAUGGAUAUGUUGGACAAAAAGAUGAUUCACAUCCCAGACAGAAUGGAGCAGAGUAUUGAUUCUGCAACAAACUGAGAAGAAACCUGGCGAUUCACAACAGAGAGCUGAGAAAUCCUAAGUCUGGAUUCCAGCUAAAUGGGAGCAGACUAAAUAGAGCGGCAGUCGGCGAACUACAUGUAGCCCAUGAACAAAAUCCGGUCCAGCACGUGUGUUUUUUUUUACGGCCCACAAAUGAGUCUGUCUUUACAGAUGAAUGUUAAAACUGGGUUGACAAGAGAGAACACUCACUUUGAACCGCAACUAAACAAAAUAUUAUCACCUUUCCCCUCAAAAAAGGUUUUUGUUCUUCUCAUUAGUAAAUUUGUAUUAUGACAA
Molecule: long non-coding RNA, 481 nt
Filed under: Homo sapiens (human)
Lineage: Eukaryota; Metazoa; Chordata; Mammalia; Primates; Hominidae
Description: HSALNT0324421
Source: RNAcentral